Xenia sp. Carnegie-2017 is the source of this 1194-nucleotide long non-coding RNA. RefSeq lists it as uncharacterized. Lineage: Eukaryota; Metazoa; Cnidaria; Anthozoa; Malacalcyonacea; Xeniidae. The record is from RefSeq and is a predicted model, not a curated record. The transcript has 5 exons.
CUCCUGCUCACUUAAUGUUUAUUAAGUUCAUCUUUGUCAUUCAUUUAUAUCCUAUAAACGGUAGAAAUGAUGGUGCUUUUACUGGUGCAGUUGCUGCUCCGGGUUGGUUUUUAUUCUUGUCGUAUUGGCUGUUCGUUAGGAUCAAUCUAAACUCUUGUACUCGAACGUGCAGUAAAAUGCGUGUUGAAGUUAUUUAACAUCUACUGACAACAUUUGAUGAGAGUGAAUUCUUGACUUGCAAUUCAGCCAUGUUGGCGGUUUGAUAGAAAUGAAUAUUUUAUCAGUGUUAUUGUUCGCACUAGCCGACGUAGGCGAGCAACAUUGUUUGGUAAAUCUUAAGAGAAUGGUUGCAAGUCAAGAAUAGUUCUGAAUUGAAAUUUAAAUUAUCAAAUGCUCAAAUCAAACACUCUGCGGCGACUGCUCACUUUAAUGUCUUAAUCUAUAGGUUAGUUUAUCAACCGCUUGCUUGUUCAUUAAAAUUAUUUAACAAUGAUUGUAAUUUGUAUAGAAGUAAUAAAGAACUUACCUUUUAGAAAGGAAAAUUACAACUCAGUAUACGUAGGCACUGGAUGUACGAUUUGGCAUUGUGAAAGUGGAUUGUAUUUUGGAAUCAUCAGAAUGUUCUAACCCACUAUGAGAAAACUCAAUUACUACGAUUGGUGAUUAACAGAAAAGAAGACAUGGCUUUGAAGCAAUGACACAAAAUUUUACAAGAUGUACAAAUCAUGAAGCGCAAUUGCCUAACUGGUUUCAAUUUUUGGCUUAUGCUUUCAUUCCAGUUAUUUAAAUAUUGAGUUCACUGGUUCACUGAUGUCAUGCAAUAUGGCGGAUAGUAAGAAUUUGGAUAGUCUUGUGGUUACGGACGAAAUUUUGUCAUCAAAAAGGAUAUUAAAAAAGGUCGUAUGGUCCGUGAUUCAUGACAUAUCGUGGCCGGUUCAUGAUGUUUCUAAAGAUGUUCACAGUAUGGUGGAAAUUUUAUCUAAAGUUGAACAUUCACAAAGAGCUGCUGAUGUAAAUAGACCUGUCAUUGUUAUAUGCAGUGACGGAGCAGGUCACUGUGGUACCUAUAUUGCUAUCUCAAAUCUUGUCGACCGAGUCAAAACUGUCCAAGCGAUUAAUGCGUUCCAAUGCAUCAAGCUGAUCCAGAAUAGACGCCACAGUUCGUUGAAACAGCGAAAGCUAAGCUUGAGGGAA